ACACUUCCUUCUUCUCUCUGCGCUUGUCUUGCCUGAGCAAGAACACGUGUGUCUGGCUUUACCCUUGCGGCUAAUGAAUGAAUCAGAAGGUUCUGCCUUCAGCUGAGCAGGCCCCCUGCACACGCCCCACAGUCAGCAUCGCAGGAUGUGUUCAUCGAGUCACCAAGAAUAACUGCAGCUCCUCUUUGCUAACUGUCGUGGUCUGUUUUCCUUUUAUUUUUCUUUCCAAGUGGGAAAGGAAUGCUGCGCAGGCCCUCGUGGGCAUUUGUCUUCCAUAGGGCAACAGCUCCCUCUAUUGCCUCAAAAUCUUUCCGCUUGCUGAAGGCAAACGAACUGUAAUCAGUCUUGUGAAGUGUUUGUUACUUCCGGCGUGUUGAAAAAGCACGCACAUCAGAUCAGUCUGGAUGGGCUGCAGCGGGAUGAGGGGUGAGUCCCAAACUUCAAGCCACUGUGUGAUUUCCCUCUGUAUCAAAGAUUUUAAUGCUCCAGCACAAGAGACUUAAAAAAAUGCUUUUCCUUAUUAGCUCCUCUCAAUGGGGAAGUUUCUGAAGUUCAAAGAACAUCCUACCAUAAAUCACAACUUUCCGUCUCUUUGAAAUCCUUAAUAUAUUAUAAUUUUAUUAGAAUUUAUAAAAAUAAUAUUCUAAGACUGUAGCAUUUAAUUUUCUUGGAAUUGCUUGAGAACUUAAUUUGGAUGCCUCUUCUUACUUGUUCUGUUAUUUAUUCUACCUCCAGAGAAGUUUAUUUUUAUAUGUCCUUAUUUUUACAGACUCACCAUGUAGAGCAUUCCAGUAUAGCAAUAAGUAUGUGUGAAUCCCACACAGUCUCAUCAAGCUCCAUUUUAGUGUCCAUGAUGUACCAAAGAAACACAAGGAAUGUUUCCACUCAGAGAGUAGUCAGGCAGAAAAACAAGCAUAUAUGAAUCCAUUUAUUGUGAAAAAUUAAAUUUAAAAAGAAUUCGGAGAUCAAUGUGAAUUCGGGGUGGGCUGUCACAAGUAAAACUUUCAGAGAGAGGGGCAUUCUUCUCCGACGGGUAGGAUGAGACACCCGGGAACCUUGGGAGGAAGUGAGUUUAUUUUUCAUUUGGGAGGGAUGUGAGCUUCUAGGGGUCAGAGCGAGACUGUGAUAAGGAGAAUUUUAAAGAUGGCCGCCACGAUUCUUGCCACCUGAUAUGGAUGCCAUUUGAAUGUAAUGGGCUUGUCAAUCUCUUAAUUAAGUUAUAUCCUAUGCCAAAGGUGAAGGGAUUUUGAAGAUGUAAUUGAGGACCCUAAUCUGCUCACAGGGAGUUAAUCAGAGGGAGAUGAUCCUGAGUGGGCCUGACCUAAUCAGGAGGGCUUAUAAAGAGGAUCCAGGCCUUUCCUAAAAGAGACACUCAAAGUAAGAGAGAUUCUCCUGCUGGCCUUGAAAAAACAGAGCCAUGCUGUGAACUGCCUAUGGACGGGGCCACAAAGAAAGAACCUGAGGGGAGCGUGUAGAAGCUGAGAGUA
RNAcentral lists this long non-coding RNA (1487 nucleotides) under Equus caballus (horse). RNAcentral's name for it is "lncRNA (ENSECAG00000051308.1)". Lineage: Eukaryota; Metazoa; Chordata; Mammalia; Perissodactyla; Equidae. The record is from RNAcentral.